This 416-nucleotide ribosomal RNA is filed under the name uncultured bacterium. RNAcentral's name for it is "bacterial SSU rRNA". It matches the Rfam family "Bacterial small subunit ribosomal RNA", at positions 355 to 787 of the family's 1533-position model. The record is from RNAcentral.
UGGGGGAUAUUGCACAAUGGGCGAAAGCCUGAUGCAGCGACGCCGCGUGAGGGAAGACGGCCUUCGGGUUGUAACCUCUGUCUUUGGGGACGAUAAUGACGGUACCCAAGGAGGAAGCUCCGGCUAACUACGUGCCAGCAGCCGCGGUAAUACGUAGGGAGCGAGCGUUGUCCGGAAUUACUGGGUGUAAAGGGAGCGUAGGCGGGAAUGCAAGUUGGAUGUGAAAAACUCCGGGGCUUAACCCGGAGACUGCAUUCAAAACUGUAUUUCUUGAGUGAUGUAGAGGCAGGCGGAAUUCCUAGUGUAGCGGUGAAAUGCGUAGAUAUUAGGAGGAACACCAGUGGCGAAGGCGGCUUACUGGACGGUAACUGACGUUGAGGCUCGAAAGCGUGGGGAGCAAACAGGAUUAGAUACCC